GGACUCCCAAUUGCCGAUGCCCAUAAUCACUCCGGCGAGCCACCCAAGACCGGUCUCGAUCCCGCCGUCAUUGCUUCACUUCCCAUGUUUGUCUACAAGCAAACUGGCAAUGAUGAAAAUGAUGAUUCCUCAUCAAAAGAAUGUGCUGUCUGUUUAAGCGUUCUUGAAGAUCAAGAAAUGGCAAGGCUUUUACCUAAUUGCAACCAUACUUUCCAUGCAGAGUGUAUAGAUAAAUGGUUAAGUUCACACCCAACUUGCCCCAUCUGCCGCACGGAGGCUGAGCCAAAGAUUCAGCCGGUGACCCGUGAGGGUCCAGCUGGUGUUGCAGCGACAGCACCGCCGUUGGAGAGGGUGAAUUCUACAUUAACUGUGUGCGUAGAGGGGACGUCCGAUGGUGUAAAUCAAUCUUCUAGCAAUAAGGCUGCUGGUGGUUCCAUUUCUCGGUUGAGCUCUUUUAGAAGGAUACUUAGCAGGGAAAGAUCAUCAAGAAGGCUUCAAUCUGAGGUUCAAGAAGGUUUUCAAGAUCUAGAGAGGCAAUAAUUUUUGGUCAAAUGGCAUUUAUUUGCACUAUUUAUUUUAUUAUUUUUUCAGUUUAUUAUAGAAUUUUAUUUUUUCUAUUAGAUUUUAGUUGUAUACUUCUCCUAUGUAUUGCCUCAUUCAUUGAAGCUAGCAUGGAUGUUGUGAGGUCUAGCUUAGUUUGGUACGCGUAAAGAUAUAUCACUCAUUUAAUAGAUUCAAGUUUGAACACUCGGUAUUCCGAUAUUUAUUAAAAAAAAUAAAUAUUGCAAGAGAGUUGUGAAUUUUUAGAUUAUUGUCAUUAUAAAAGUU
Molecule: unclassified non-coding RNA, 828 nt
Filed under: Hevea brasiliensis (rubber tree)
Lineage: Eukaryota; Viridiplantae; Streptophyta; Magnoliopsida; Malpighiales; Euphorbiaceae
Source: RNAcentral